Molecule: ribosomal RNA, 326 nt
Filed under: uncultured eukaryote
Lineage: Eukaryota
Description: partial 18S ribosomal RNA
Rfam family: Eukaryotic small subunit ribosomal RNA
Source: RNAcentral
CCCUUAGAUGUUCUGGGCUGCACGCGCGCUACACUGAUGCACUCAACGAGUUUACGACCUUGCCCGAUAGGGUUGGGUAAUCUUUUUAAAAUGCAUCGUGAUGGGGAUAGAUUAUUGCAAUUAUUAAUCUUCACCGAGGAAUUCCUAGUAAGCGCGAGUCAUCAGCUCGUGCUGAUUACGUCCCUGCCCUUUGUACACACCGCCCGUCGCUCCUACCGAUUGAGUGCUCAGGUGAAUAAUUCGGACUGCAGCAAUGUUUGGAUCCCGAACGUUGCAGCGGAAAGUUUAGUGAACCUUAUCACUUAGAGGAAGGAGAAGUCGUAACA